CAAUCGAACUUCACCCUCACCUCCCUGAAAAUCACAAUCUAAAAAAAACCCUGAUUUCACAAUUCAGUUUUCUAAACCCUUUGUCGCCGUUAACACCAUCUCUUUGCAAUCUAUUAAAAGGGGCACCUCCUUGAGGAUCGUUAUGGCAAUGAAAAAUGGAGAUCUAGAUAGCAAACAUAUUGGGUAAUCCAUUUUUGGUUGCUAACUUGGAUUUUGGAAUCCCUUGGCUACACGAUGCUUCUAAAAUGUGUUAUAGAACUUCCAGGAAAAUAAAGAGAAGUAAUGGAUGUGUUUGAUAUCCAAGCCAAGUCUGACGAUGAAUUACUUCAAAAGAUGCAUAAAGGUAGACCAUUAGAAGCAACCAUUGGCAAUUGGAAAUGUGAUUAAAACACCUCAAAAAGCAAGAGCAAUUGAAGUUGUCAUUGAAUAAUAUAUAGCUGCAACCCAACAAAUGAAACCUGUCGAACCGGAUAAAGGGUUUGUUGCAAACAAUAGUAUUAAGACGCAAUUGGAAGUAGAAGCAUUUAAGAAAAUUGUUGAGUCGGGUAAAGGCUUUUGUGAGAACAAUAAUAUUAAGAAGAAAUUGAAUGUGAGAACAAUAAUAUUAAGAAGAAAUUGAAGUAUUCAGUGGAUCAUCAAGUUGAUUGUUCAAUUGAAUCACAUGUCUCAAAAUUAAAGCAUCUAAGAAACAUUUUAUUUUGAACAGUAA
Molecule: long non-coding RNA, 709 nt
Organism: Medicago truncatula (barrel medic)
Lineage: Eukaryota; Viridiplantae; Streptophyta; Magnoliopsida; Fabales; Fabaceae
Exons: 3
Source: RefSeq, a predicted model, not a curated record